Molecule: long non-coding RNA, 398 nt
Organism: Danio aesculapii
Lineage: Eukaryota; Metazoa; Chordata; Actinopteri; Cypriniformes; Danionidae
Exons: 4
Source: RefSeq, a predicted model, not a curated record
GGGAGAUAUCCAAAUCCCCAAUGGUUCAUAAGACGGUGUGUUUGGCGGAUGAGGUUUCGCGAAAGAGGGAGCUGUUUGAGAAAGAGCAGGAUGGAGCAGAGAAAUCACAUCUGUUCUCCAAGCAGGAUUUUCGGAAUUUAUCUUCAGGAAUCUCUGAUCGGAUAAUCGUUGGGUUCAGAAGAAAACAUUCAACAUCUCAUCAUCUCCUACGGAUCUGAGACAUGUGAACAUCUCCAGUAAGAAAAGUCUGUUUGAAAGAGCAGAAGAGCAGGACCACAAGUGAAGCUCAAGCGGCUAAAUGCAAACUUUCCUGAGAUGCAUCUGAUAAUUGAUCUCUGAAGAUUUUGAAGGAAUCGACUCUCUCAGACAGUCAGUGUUGAGGACUGUCUCUAAACUCC